AGCGCCACCGGGUCCACCGCCCGGGUCACCGUGAGGUAGUCGCGGAUCGCCGUGCCGUGCCGCCCCUC
This is a small RNA of Micromonospora aurantiaca ATCC 27029, 68 nucleotides long. It matches the Rfam family "ASdes TB sRNA". The record is from Rfam. Lineage: Bacteria; Bacillati; Actinomycetota; Actinomycetes; Micromonosporales; Micromonosporaceae.